CUGCGGAGGAUCAUUAUCUAAACCGAGACGGGCGCCCCCAGCCGGGUGCCCCGACCGUUCAAACCCUCCGUGUACCCAUACCUCUGUUGCUUCCCGUCCGGGCCUCGCGGCCCGUGGCGGGGAGGUCUACCGAAACUCCUUGUCUUUUCAUGCAGUCUGUAGAUGGCGGCUAGUCCGCGAAAAUUUAAAAGUUAAAACUUUCAACAACGGAUCUCUUGGUUCUCGCAUCGAUGAAGAACGCAGCGAAAUGCGAUAAGUAGUGUGAAUUGCAGAAUUCAGUGAAUCAUCGAAUCUUUGAACGCACAUUGCGCCCUCUGGCAUUCCGGAGGGCAUGCCUGUCCGAGCGUCAUCAAACCCCCUCAAGCGGCCUUUGCUGCUUGGUCCUGGCCGACGAUCGUCCCCCCUCGGGGUGGCGUUCCCGGCUGAAAGGGAUCUGGCGGAGAGCCUGGUCUCCACAGAUGUAGUAAGCUUUACGCCUAUCUUCCGCUGGUGUGGCCAGUUAUCCAGCCGUCAACCCCAAUUCUUUUGGUUGACCUCGGAUCAGGUAGGGAUACCCGCUGAACUUAAGCAUAUCAAUAAGCGGAGGAAAAGAAACCAACAGGGAUUGCCUUAGUAACUGCGAGUGAAGCGGCAAGAGCUCAGAUUUGAAACCUGCCGUCUUUGGCGGCCGGAUUGUAAUCUGGAGAGACCACUUCUGGUGGGCGGCCGGUCCAAGUUCUUUGGAACAAGGCAUCAGAGAGGGUGAGAAUCCCGUAUCUGGCCGGUUCGUCCCAUCUUGUGAAGGGUCUUCGACGAGUCGAGUUGUUUGGGAAUGCAGCUCAAAAUGGGUGGUAAAUUUCAUCUAAAGCUAAAUACUGGCGAGAGACCGAUAGCGCACAAGUAGAGUGAUCGAAAGAUGAAAAGCACUUUGAAAAGAGAGUCAAAAAGUACGUGAAAUUGUUGAAAGGGAAGCGCUUGAGACCAGACUCGGGCCGGGGUGAUCAGCGGUGCUUCUGCGCCGUGCACUUGCCUCGACCCGGGCCAGCAUCGGUUGUGACGGCGGGAUAAAGGCUCGAGGAAUGUGGCUCCCCUCGGGGAGUGUUAUAGCCUCGGGUGCAAUGCCGCCUGCCGCGACCGAGGACCGCGC
This 1126-nucleotide ribosomal RNA is filed under the name Pezizomycetes sp. 11123. Its description in RNAcentral is "eukaryotic LSU rRNA". The stretch from base 531 to 1126 matches the Rfam family "Eukaryotic large subunit ribosomal RNA", at positions 1 to 600 of the family's 3401-position model. Lineage: Eukaryota; Fungi; Ascomycota; Pezizomycetes. The record is from RNAcentral.